RNA transcript from Musa acuminata AAA Group (dessert banana), 4712 nucleotides. RefSeq lists it as uncharacterized. The transcript has 6 exons. Lineage: Eukaryota; Viridiplantae; Streptophyta; Magnoliopsida; Zingiberales; Musaceae. The record is from RefSeq and is a predicted model, not a curated record.
UCCUCUUCCUCUUCCUCCUGCUCCGCAUUCCUCGCCCGCCCGCUCAGCCGAAUCCUCCACUGGCCGUCUCUGCCAUUUCCUUCCUUCUUCCCUGUGGCCCCACUAUCGCGGCUGAGUUUCGCGCAGCUGUUCUUUCCGUCACACACCUUGGUCUGCUGUCACCACCGACCCUCAAGUCGACGCUGUUCUUGGAUUCUUCUGGGCUUUCUACAUUUCACUCCAUACACAGCUACUAUGACAAGCAAAGGUGCAAAUGGAUUUUCCUGGCUCUUAAUUGAGCAUAAAAUCUGAAAUAUACAUGUGCGAAAGUUAUUGUGCAGAGUUCUUGCAUCAGCAUUAUGAGAACCUCUGCUGCAGCUUGCUUGUUCAGUGGUUCUGUGACUAUUAAGGAUUGUUGGGGUUUUAUGCUUCCUGGCAGUCAUGUUGCUGCAGAGGCUAGGUAUGCUUCUGCAGCAAUGCUCUCAAAAGAAAGCCUUCAGACAUGGCAUUGCUCUCCAUGCUUCAGUCAUCAAGACAGGCAUGGAUUCUGACCUCAUACUCUCAAACCAUCUGAUCAACCUGUAUGCCAAAUGCAAAGAUUUUGAAUCUUCACAUCAGAUAUUUGAUCACAUGUCAAAUAGAAACAUCGUAUCGUGGUCAGCUAUGAUUUCUGGCUACGAUCAGGCCGGAAAGCCUUCCAUGGCACUGGAUCUGUUUGCUAAAAUGCCAUUACAGCCUAAUGAAUACAUCUAUGGCAGUGUCAUAAGUGCAUGUGCGACCCUUUUUGCCCUGACACAAGGUAGACAGAUUCAUGGCCAUUCACUUAAAAAUGGGUAUGAUCAGAUUUCUUAUGUCUCGAACUCUUUGAUGUCAAUGUACAUUAAAUGUGAUUGCUUUGAUGAUGCCUUAUGCAUCUUUAGCAGCAUCUCAGAACCAAAUUCUGUCUCUUAUAAUGCUAUGAUCACAGGAUUUGCUGAGAAUUUAAAGCUCAGUAAAGGUUUGGAGCUAUUCAGACACAUGAACAAGCAAGGUUUAGAUCCAGAUGAGUUUUCUUACAUGGCUUUAAUAGGAAUAUGCUCUAGCGUGGAGGAUUUGCAUGUAGGAAUUGGAUUGCAUUGCCAAACAGUCAAGCUUGGCCUUGACACUACAGUUUUUGUUGGGAAUGUUAUAUUGAUGAUGUACUCAACAUGUGGUUUAUUUGAAGAGGUUGAGAAGGCUUUUAUGUUGAUCAAAGAGAAGGAUGUCAUAACAUGCAACACUUUCAUAGUUGCAUGUUCCAAUUGUGGGGAACAUACUAAAGGUUUGAUGGUCUACAAAGACAUGACAGCAACAAAAAAUAAUUUCUCUUUGAGUCCUGAUGAGUUCACCACAGCUAGUGCUUUGGCUGUUUCUGCAGAACUUGCUUCAUUUCACCAUGGUGGUCAAAUUCAUGCUCAUCUAAUAAGAACUAGGAUGGUCUUAGACAUUGCAGUCUAUAAUGCUAUCAUUAACAUGUAUGCUAAGUGUGGUUGUAGCAAAUAUGCUAGUCAUGUGUUUAAUCUCAUGCCAAACAGGAAUCUGAUCUCCUAUAACACAAUGAUUGCUGCGCAUGGCAAUCAUGGCCGUGCAACAGCUGCUUUGGAAAUUUUCAAGCGAAUGAGAUAUGAAGGUUUUGUUGCUGAUUCUGUCACAUUUGUUGGUCUCUUAACAGCUUGCAGCCAUGCGGGCUUAGUCGAUGAAGGUUUAGCAUUAUUUAAUUCGAUGCAAGAAACUUAUGGAAUAUGUCCCAUGAUCGAGCACUUAUCUUGUUUGAUUGAUAUGUUGGGUCGAUCUGGGAGAUUAGAGGAGGCUGAAUGCUACGUUAAAACAUCUGCUUUUCAAAAUGACUCCGUGAUAUGGGGCAACUUGCUUUCAUCAUGCCGUCUUCAUAAAAAUGUUGUUGUUGGUGAACGGGCUGCUAUUAAACUUUUGGAGCUUCAACCUGGCACCAGUUCACCUUAUGUGCUCUUAUCAAAUUUAUAUGCAUCAGAUGGAAGAUGGGAUGAUGUUGCGGCAGCAAGGAAAAUGUUGAAAUGUACUGGGGUGAAGAAGGAGCCUGGUCAUAGCUUCAUAGAAGUAAAAGGAAUCGCUGAAAAGUUCACAGUUGGAGAUUUUUCACAUGCACAAAUUGAAGAAAUCAUUGGGACAUUGGAGAGCUUAAAUUGGAUGACAAAAAAACUGUAUAUGUCAGCUCUGUUUGACUAGUCUAUUUCUAUAAUGGCCAGAUGUAUCAGGUGCUACGUUAAGUUUAUAAACCUUUCUUGUGCUUGAACCUCUCGAUUCUUCUAAUGAAAGUAAAGGCAUGCUGUUUGGUAAUUUAUCAGGGGUUUGAGCUUACGAGUUGGAUCUAUUCUUGUGUUAUUGAAGGGAAUUGGAGCAAUAUGUUAGUUGAUAACAUGUAUAUGCUCUCGUGCAGAGUGCGGUGGUCUUUCUUGGUGUAUCAAUGUUAUUACUAGACUACCAUGAUCAUGCUCGUGUUCGCCGUCAGCAUAGGACAUGAAACAUUGUCGAUGUUUCUGGAGAUGCAGAACCUGGGGUUUUCACUGGAGUUCACUGUUAGCAGCGUCCUCAAGGCUUGAUGAGAACCGAAGGAAUUGGGGCUUGGGAAGCGACUGCAUGGUGUUAUUGUGAAGAGGAAGUUCAAAGAAGAAGACCAUAUCAAUUCUCUGGUUAAUAUGUUUGAGAGGUCUGGUAAACCUAUGAAUGCUAGAACAGUCUUUGAUCUGAUUUCAGAGAGAAACAUGAUCACAUGGACUUUUGUGAUAUCAGAUUACUCGUGAUGUGUUCUUGGAGGUGUGGCCAUUCUGUUUCCAUGGAGCUGAAGUGACAAGGGAAUUGAUGCUUUUAUGGAUUCAUUGAGCCACUUAUGGUUGCUCUCUGCUAAAAGUAAAUCUUUGCAUAGGUAUUCUCUGCGGGAAAGCUUAGAGCAUAUAUGUGGCCUAUUGUCGACAUCAAGAACCUCCACUAUGGGGGCUUGUUCUAGACAAAAGUGCAAACAACUUGAAGCAUGGGCUAUUGAGGAGCAUCUUGUUCUCGUGGAAUCAAUGUGGCCUUGCUAUUGCAGAACUACAACCUUUUGAAGACAGCACAUCUCAGUUAGCUGAGUUUGCAAGCAACAGAGCCCCACACAGCCUUGUUUGUGUUCCUAUGGAGAAGCAUGGUGUUCCUGGAUUGCUGAUGAUUCUUCCUAAUAAUUCUUGCAACAGAGCUAAACCUGAGAUGUUCUUCUGGAUCAGGAAUUGACUGUUUGUUGUCUCUCCUAUGUUGUGCCCUAAAUCCGAAAUCAACAAUAAUUUGAUUGAUGAAUGGGAUUAUGCCAGGGCUGGAAUCUAAUGCUUGUUCUUAAUGGCAUAUCUUGUCUUAAUCGUAGAGCUCGAUCUCUUUUUCCACUUGGUGUAUCCAGAUCAGAUCUGGCUGAGAAGACCACCUAUCUAAACCAGUGUCAUCAGGUGCAUCAGCAUGGUAAACAGUAUACCUCUGUGUGAGGCUUUAACAGGAUGCAAUGGUUUGUACUGAUGAAAAGGAAAUGAAGUUGACUUCAUCGUAACAUCUUCAUUCUAAAUCUACACCAACGGGAGCUGCCAGUGCCAGCUUCCGGAACACACCAUAUGCCAUGGUUGACAAGGAGCAGGUCAUUCAAAACCGGAGAGGACGACUCGGAGAAUCCAAUUCCCAUGCUGUGGUGGCUGUCAGCCACGCAUGGUGCUUUCAUUAGUGGCCUAAUUAAGCAUCCCAAAGAUACUAAUCCUUUUUCUCUCUGUCCCUCCUAUUUCUGCCGUAAGAUAAUCCAAUCACUCCUCUCGGCUUCUCGCUGCUUGACGAUGAGUAGGGCAGCGUCGAGCUGGUUCUAGAACCGUGGAACACCGGGUCCGCUUUGCUCACUUGCUCGGAGUUCCUUCUCCAGAUGUAGUUGAUGGAUUUGUCCCUUUUAUCGGAUCUGACGGCCACUGUUUCAUCUCCCACCUCCUCGCCCCUCCCAGGCCGAUCCAGGCGGCGAAUCAUGGCCGUCCAUGAAGCCCAGACGACAGUGCCGCCGCCCCCGCUCCUCCCCCUCCUCCCGCUAACGUGCCCCAGCCAGGCCCUGUUGCGGGGAAUGCCCGCCGUCGCUCACCUUCAGGUCCCGGACCUAAUCCAUAACAUGCCUGACAUCCAACCAGAGAAGAGGGUGCCUGUUGAUGCUGACGAAGAAGAUGGUGAUCCAGACGGAAAUGGAGAUGAAGAUGGGGGGUCUGGUGUAGGUGAAGAGGGGUCCUCGGACAAAGAUAGCGAGGGGCAUGGGAACCCCGAUGAUGCCAACAGCAAGGAAGUUCCAGGAGGUGAACGGAAUGGGCAAAACGAUGACGAGGAGGAAGAGCCCGAAGAUCAAGGGGACGACAAUGACGAUGACAAAGAGGAAGAUGAUGAAAAUGGUGAAAAUGAGGAUGAGAUAGAAGACGAGGAAGAGGAUCAGGAGAAUGAUGAAGAAGAAGACGAUGAGGAAGAGACACUUCGACCCCCCAAAAAGAGGAAGAAGUGAUUUUUUGUUCAUAGAUUUUCUUCUUGCUGGAGCCCCUUAUCUUAUUACUUUGAGUUGUCAUAUUUAGGGGCACAAGUACUUGCUUAGGAUAGUGGUUAUGCAUCAGAAGAAUAAACUUUUAUCUCUGAGAUGUGGCAUUGAGCUAAUCUGUUCCCAAGUAUAAAACCUCUCUGAGUAAACUUGUGCUUCUUGUGCUUCC